This 55-nucleotide transfer RNA is filed under the name Nodularia harveyana CCAP 1452/1. Its description in RNAcentral is "tRNA-Ile". It matches the Rfam family "tRNA", at positions 18 to 71 of the family's 71-position model. Rfam says of the family: Transfer RNA (tRNA) molecules are approximately 80 nucleotides in length. Their secondary structure includes four short double-helical elements and three loops (D, anti-codon, and T loops). RNAcentral also lists the same sequence under 1 other name. Lineage: Bacteria; Bacillati; Cyanobacteriota; Cyanophyceae; Nostocales; Nodulariaceae. The record is from RNAcentral.
GUAGAGCGCACCCCUGAUAAGGGUGAGGUCCCUGGUUCGAGUCCAGGAUGGCCCA